Molecule: ribosomal RNA, 420 nt
Filed under: uncultured Sphingobacteriales bacterium
Lineage: Bacteria; Pseudomonadati; Bacteroidota; Sphingobacteriia; Sphingobacteriales
Description: bacterial SSU rRNA
Rfam family: Bacterial small subunit ribosomal RNA
Source: RNAcentral
ACGCGAGGAACCUUACCUGGGCUUAAAUGUAGAGUGCAUUUUUUAGAGAUAGAAAUUCCCUUCGGGGCUUUCUGCAAGGUGCUGCAUGGUUGUCGUCAGCUCGUGCCGUGAGGUGUCGGGUUAAGUCCCAUAACGAGCGCAACCCUUAUCGUUAGUUGCCAGCUGGUAAAGCAGGGACUCUAGCGAAACUGCCACCGUAAGGUGAGAGGAAGUGGGGAUGACGUCAAAUCAGCAGGCCCUUAUGUCCAGGGCUACACACGUGUUACAAUGGCCGGCACAGAGGGCAGCUACCUGGUGACAGGAUGCUAAUCUCGAAAACCGGUCUCAGUUCGGAUCGAAGUCUGCAACUCGACUCCAUGAAGUUGGAAUCGCUAGUAAUCGCGGAUCAGCACGCCCGCGGUCCGAAUACGUUCCGGCCUU